This is a long non-coding RNA of Cyprinodon variegatus (sheepshead minnow), 2727 nucleotides long. RefSeq lists it as uncharacterized. NCBI's taxonomy places the organism in Eukaryota, Metazoa, Chordata, Actinopteri, Cyprinodontiformes, Cyprinodontidae. The record is from RefSeq and is a predicted model, not a curated record. The transcript is spliced from 5 exons.
CUUUAGCUAAAAAUACAAUUGAAAGUCUCUACAGCGUGCGCUUCACGAAGUAAAGUUGUGAAAUACGACACUAAAGUAGGUCCAUGAAUGCAGCACAAAACACGCGAAGACUGAUUGAGAAUCCUGCAGCUUGGACCUCAUAUUUUGAACAGAAGAGAAAAACAAAGACUGAGCUAUCUUUGGUAAAAGCCUAUCACUAAAGAUGAUUGACCCAAAUCUCAGAGAAGAACCUUUAAAUUUAAAUGUUACCACUGCAGUUGCCACCCAUUCUUCUCAAACAGAGGAUUCAUUAACCAGGAGCAGCGGGAUCAUACCUGGUACAAUUGCAGCCUCAGUUUUCAUUGCCUUCUUGCUUGCACUCUACGCCACUCUCUGGAAGUGCAUGAUGUCACCACCAACUCGAAAGAAAAGUAAGCGGAGGAUAAGGGCACAACAGAAGAGGUCUUCUCUUCAGCAUCUUUAAACCAGUCAAUGAAGAUCAGGAAGCACAUAUGUUAUGGAUUGGCAAGUCUGCCUGAGCAGUGGUUACUGGCGACCUUUUUAACUCAAAGGUGAUGAUGAUGUAAAUAGUUGUGGCAGGUCAGAUUGUGCUCUUUUUUUCCUUUGAUGUUUUACUUGGGAGGCAGAGGCCCAGGAAGAACUUUUUUCUUGUGUAGAGAUGAGUAUUAUGAAAGACUUGUCUGUUUUUUAUGGUAAUUUUUGUACAAAUAAAACUUUUUUGCAAAUGUGCCAUGGUCUAUUUGGACAGCAUCUCCAAAGAGUCAAAGAAAACCACAGAUUGGAGAUUAGAAAGCAAGUGUACACAGCUACCUAGAGUGUACCAGCUAGCUAGAGCUAGAGCUGAAGCAACAUCCUCUAGCAAGCCAGCAGGGGGUGGUGUCAGCCUUUUUUAACAUUAUGAGAGACUGACCCUGCCUCAGGGAACAACAGCUGGUUAUUCCCUGUCACAUAACAUGAGUGACGAAGAUGGAAGCCCGCCGUCAAAAACCAAUCAGGGUCAUCCUUAUAAGGGUUAGAGCAAUGCACUUGUGCUCCGAGAAGGUUGCAAGUGUCUGGUUGGAUCCCCACAGCCUACACUCUGGGUUCUUAAGCGAAACCAUUAACCCCACACUGCUCCCCGGGGUGCCACACAAUGGCAGCCCACUGACCCCAAAGGGGAUGGGUUAAAUGCAAAGUUAAUUUCCCCAUUGUGGGACAAUAAAAAUAUUUACAUAACUUAAAAUUGUCUGAUAACAAAAGACUAAUUGUAUACAAACACUUGACUAAGUUGGCUCAAUGUCCAUCUUUUGAGUAGACCUACAGGCAGAGAAUCCAUCCUGCAUAAUAUGCUGUCUAUAGAGCUGACAUCUGCCAGGCUGCUUUGACCAAAAAAGUUGUGACAGUUCUUACCUUCAGAGCAUUGUUUUCGACUUGAGGACAUCACAUAGAUGUCUUGUCCCAACCUAUGUAUGAGCGUGGAAUGCGCUCCAGAGGGCAAAGGACCUAUCAUGAUACUGUCAGGUAAAAAGUCUGAUAAUUUAAAGAGAGUAUUCUAGGGUUUCUAAGGCCAUCAUCUGGCCCAUAUUACUUUGUCUUUAAGACACUUAAGCAUCAAUGGUUUCACACUUUUUAACUUUCAGUGACAACAAAUUAGAGGUUGUGGUAUUAUAUUCCUGCAGCUCCUGUGAGCCAUCUCCUCUUGGGCCCUUUAGUGUUUUUAUCACAUUUCACAGCUGGCAUAAAUAAAGCUGACUCCUUCAAAAUGACAUUUUGAAGCAGUAAUUCAUGCCUUCAUGACAACUCAGUUUGAUUAUUGAUAUUGUUCUCUACAUUGGAAUCAACCAGUCGACCCUCAAGCGCUCUAAAGUCCCUAAAUUAUUGAACAAUCGCCCGUUUUAUAUUAGAAAUUUGUCUUUCAUUGUCUUUCAUUGUUCAUGUUUUUAAAACUUGCCUAUAGACACAUUCUUGUUUCUUAGCUUUAACAUAUGUUGAGACUGUUGCCGUAUUAUGUUUUAUUAAUUCCAUUAUCAUUGUUCUUUUUCAUAUUCUUUGUUGAUUCUUGUGCACUGUCAGGCCUAAUAACUGAACUGACCGGGCAUAACAUUAUGAUACCUAAUAAUUGAAUUCAGAUUAUAUUCCUGAAAUAAGCACAUUUAAAACUAAUAGGUUGCACAAGGGAUGGGUGGGCCAAACUUAUCACUCUACCUUACAAAGUAAAGCUUGGGAGGCAGCUAUCUUAAUACACAAAUCUUUACCCGUUAAGUUUUUCUGCACUGCUUUUAAGCCUUUCAGACUUCCAGUUUUUAAAAUAUUAUCAGUUGGAUGGCAAAGGGAGGAGCUUGCCCCAGGUGUCUUUCAUGUGAAACCAUAGCUGGUUUCAAUGAUGAAAUAGUGGUGGUUAACCUACCGUCUGGCUGUUUUUUAAAAGAUGAGCGUUAUGCAUUUCACAGAACUGAUGCUUAUCUUUUAAACUGUGCGUGAGAGUGAAAGCCAUUGCAUCCAUUUAAUGCUCUUUAUAUAAAAACAAAUCUUGUGUAAGAAAAAAAUGUUAAAGGAAAGCUCUGUUUACACCUUAAAGCUUUCUCUCUCCAGUUCUUUUUCCUGAAAAGAGAUCUCUCAGGAAAAACUUUUUAAAUAACACUUCAUAAUGUAUAUGCAUUAAAUAAUAAUGAGACAUGACAUCAGAUUCUGAUAGAAAUUGUAAUCUUACUCAGAGAGGAUUGCGUUCCCAAAACUCUGCACUUCACA